GACGAACGCUGGCGGCGUGCUUAACACAUGCAAGUCGAACGGAAAGGCCCUGCUUUUGUGGGGUGCUCGAGUGGCGAACGGGUGAGUAACACGUGAGUAACCUGCCCUUGACUUUGGGAUAACUUCAGGAAACUGGGGCUAAUACCGGAUAGGAGCUCCUGCUGCAUGGUGGGGGUUGGAAAGUUUCGGCGGUUGGGGAUGGACUCGCGGCUUAUCAGCUAGUUGGUGGGGUAGUGGCUUACCAAGGCUUUGACGGGUAGCCGGCCUGAGAGGGUGACCGGCCACAUUGGGACUGAGAUACGGCCCAGACGCCUACAGGAGGCAGCGGUGGGGAAUAUUGCACAAUGGGCGGAAGCCUGAUGCAGCAGCGCCGCGUGCGGGAUGACGGCCUUCGGGUUGUAAACCGCUUUCGCCUGUGACGAAGCGUGAGUGACGGUAAUGGGUGAAGAAGCACCGGCUAACUACGUG
Molecule: ribosomal RNA, 468 nt
Filed under: uncultured bacterium
Lineage: Bacteria
Description: partial 16S ribosomal RNA
Rfam family: Bacterial small subunit ribosomal RNA
Source: RNAcentral